This 62-nucleotide transfer RNA is filed under the name Galerucinae sp. 7 ACP-2013. RNAcentral describes it as "tRNA-Pro". Lineage: Eukaryota; Metazoa; Arthropoda; Insecta; Coleoptera; Chrysomelidae. The record is from RNAcentral.
AGAUAUUAGUUUAUUAAAAUAUUAAUUUUGGAGAUUAAAGAUAGGAUAUUUCUAUAUCUGAA